UAGGGAAUCUUCGGCAAUGGACGAAAGUCUGACCGAGCAACGCCGCGUGAGUGAAGAAGGUUUUCGGAUCGUAAAACUCUGUUGUUAGAGAAGAACAAGGACGUUAGUAACUGAACGUCCCCUGACGGUAUCUAACCAGAAAGCCACGGCUAACUACGUGCCAGCAGCCGCGGUAAUACGUAGGUGGCAAGCGUUGUCCGGAUUUAUUGGGCGUAAAGCGAGCGCAGGCGGUUUCUUAAGUCUGAUGUGAAAGCCCCCGGCUCAACCGGGGAGGGUCAUUGGAAACUGGGAAACUUGAGUGCAGAAGAGGAGAGUGGAAUUCCAUGUGUAGCGGUGAAAUGCGUAGAUAUAUGGAGGAACACCAGUGGCGAAGGCAGCUCUCUGGUCUGUAACUGACGCUGAGGCUCGAAAGCGUGGGGAGCAAACAGG
This 429-nucleotide ribosomal RNA is filed under the name Chloroflexota bacterium. RNAcentral describes it as "Chloroflexi bacterium partial 16S ribosomal RNA". It matches the Rfam family "Bacterial small subunit ribosomal RNA", at positions 355 to 776 of the family's 1533-position model. Lineage: Bacteria; Bacillati; Chloroflexota. The record is from RNAcentral.